Polyodon spathula (Mississippi paddlefish) is the source of this 1773-nucleotide long non-coding RNA. RefSeq lists it as uncharacterized. Lineage: Eukaryota; Metazoa; Chordata; Actinopteri; Acipenseriformes; Polyodontidae. The transcript has 3 exons. The record is from RefSeq and is a predicted model, not a curated record.
CUUCAUUUUGUCCCGACAUCUGAAAGGUGGUCUGUCUCAAGUGUGCAAUCGUACGUUCAAGUUAAUAGUGUACUUGUUUUUAUAGCACACACUUAAAAACAAAUGCUACAAUGUUUGUAUGAACCAGGGAUUUAUCUGAAUUGAAUUGUUUACUAUUGGUUCUGUACGGUACCCUGGCGUACAUUAUCCCGAGACUUGUUAACUGCGAAAGUCUGUAUUGCUGGAAGCGCUUGAAGAGCGUAAUACAUUGUAUAUACAGUAUUGCUGAAAUACAGCUGUAUCGAAAGCGGGUUUGAAAUAUAUUUGCCUACUAGUUUGUCAGGUUAAACUACGUGUUCGGGCAAACUUGAAAGUACACUAGACCACAAAAAGAAGACAGAAGGGGCUGUACUUGAUAAUUAUGUGUAUGGACGCAAUGGAGGUUAAAAUCGAACCGAAAGUAGCCCAACCGUGCUCUUGCCAGAAAAAGAGAUUCGCAAAAUGGAAGCCCAGGAAGUGUUUUAGUGGCGGCGGUCAGAAAAGCUUAAUAAAAUGGAAGCGUGACUCUACCCAGGCAUCAAGAAAAUACCGACGACAAGGCCUCUGUCAGGCGGGGAAACACAGACACGGAAACCGAAGGCUUUUUAUCGACAACAGUGCUGAUUACAAUCAUUUGCGACCCGGCAAUGGCCGGCACGUUCCAGGUAUGCAAGCUCCUAGAAACACUACGCAGUAUCUUAUGCAUCUUGUUUACCAGGAUCUCGUAAACGAUUCUGUUAAAGGACAUGAUUCCGGAUUUGAAAGCGCUUAUAGUCGUGUUGCAAAUGACUUUGAUGACUCUCAAUAUAUGGGACCGGAAAUGCUUUACUACGAGACUGCCUCUUCUCAAAGCAUUUGUCAAUCAAACAUCGAUUUGGAAAAGACUCAUGACAUUCUACGGUGCGAUUUUGAAAACAUCUUUAAUGUUUCAUGGGUCGAAAAUAUGAAGUUCCAGCUGAACUGAUAACCCAUCGAUUUACUUUUUUUUCUUAAGACUACGGCCAUUGAGUGAAUCUGAAGCAGCCUGUCUGCAGAGCCGCUCUCAUCCUUGAACCUUGCAACCUGCAGACCUCAACCUCCGGAGUCUGAGAAUUCAGAUCUGCAGUUGGUAUCUGGUGUGGUCUCCAGGUAAAUGUGCCAGCUGAGAAUACAGGCACCAUCACUGUUGACAUCGCUGCUACAGAGGAGUGAAUGACGACCCAGGAGAAUGAAUACCAGCAGCACAACACACACCUGAACUGCAAGGCCCUACUAUAUGUUAACUAUUAGUGGCCUUGUUGGAAGGCAAUUUGUAGAGCAGGGGGGCUGAAAGCAGCGUGUGUUUGGAACCAGAUAGAGUGCUGCUUGGAGUGGGAGUAAGUGCUAUUCAUGUCCUCUUUUCUACAGGAACUACAGCACGGUGUCAGUGAGGGUGUGAAGGAGGUAGAAGAUAUUAUUGUGUUUGUGACUGUUUCCACCAGGGCCUGGAGGCGAUCAAGCAGACUGUGGCUAUUAUGUUAAUUACAUAUCCAUACCAGCGAUAUGAACAGGACAGAGCAUACAACGGAUGGUUUACAGGAUUGGAUAUUGAGGCCUCCAAGGGACCAGGUGAUAUUGUUAUAUCAUUUUUCCAUACAUACCUGUUGAAGAGGAGAGACUGCUACUGUGGGACAGAUAGAGAUGAGGAUUUGCUUUUUAGGUUUUACGACUUUUAGUGUCUCCUUGUCUAUCUGUGAAAUGUCUAUUAUGUUUAGCGUGUGUUAAUAAAAAUUCUUG